GCGGAAGUGGCGAAAUUGGUAGACGCACCAGAUUUAGGUUCUGGCGUCGCGAGGCGUAAGAGUUCAAGUCUCUUCUUCCGCACCA
RNAcentral lists this transfer RNA (85 nucleotides) under Vibrio cholerae. Its description in RNAcentral is "tRNA-Leu". It matches the Rfam family "tRNA". Rfam says of the family: Transfer RNA (tRNA) molecules are approximately 80 nucleotides in length. Their secondary structure includes four short double-helical elements and three loops (D, anti-codon, and T loops). Lineage: Bacteria; Pseudomonadati; Pseudomonadota; Gammaproteobacteria; Vibrionales; Vibrionaceae. The record is from RNAcentral.